This is a small nuclear RNA of Ornithorhynchus anatinus (platypus), 102 nucleotides long. The record is from RefSeq and is a predicted model, not a curated record. NCBI's taxonomy places the organism in Eukaryota, Metazoa, Chordata, Mammalia, Monotremata, Ornithorhynchidae.
ACACGUUCAGCAUGUAUGCUAAAAUUGGAAUGAUACAGAGAAGAUUAGCACGGCCUAUGCGCAAGAGCAGUGCCUGGCACAUAGUAAGCACUUAACAAAUAC